GAUGAAGAACGCAGCGAAAUGCGAUAAGUAAUGUGAAUUGCAGAAUUCAGUGAAUCAUCGAAUCUUUGAACGCACAUUGCGCCCGCCAGUAUUCUGGCGGGCAUGCCUGCUCGAGCGUCAUUACAACCCUCAGGCCCCCGGGCCUGGCGUCGGGAUCGGCGGAGCCCCCCGUGGGCACACGCCGUCCCCCAAAUACAGUGGCGGUCCCGCCGCAGCUUCCAUCGCGUAGUAGCUAACACCUCGCGACUGGAGAGCGGCGCGGCCACGCCGUAAAACACCCAACUCUUCUGAAGUUGACCUCGAAUCAGGUAGGAAUACCCGCUGAACUUAAGCAUAUCAAUAAGCGGAGGA
RNAcentral lists this unclassified non-coding RNA (351 nucleotides) under soil metagenome. RNAcentral describes it as "partial contains 5.8S ribosomal RNA, internal transcribed spacer 2, and large subunit ribosomal RNA". The stretch from base 1 to 120 matches the Rfam family "5.8S ribosomal RNA", at positions 35 to 154 of the family's 154-position model. The record is from RNAcentral.